CACAGGGUAUGGGCUUCUGGAAAGACGUACUAGUGCGCUAAUAAGGUAUGUGAUGAAAUAGUACAACUUUGUCUGAUAGAAAGCUACUAUUAUUGGAGUAUACACAUUCACAUGAUUGCUUUUACAACCAUUUUUAGGGUACCUUUACGUAUGUACUUGAGAUGGAAACUCUUUCUGUUUGUUUAAUGUUCCCAUUUGCAAAUUUUCAUCAUGUGAUUGCUUUUACAGUCAUUGCCGCUUUGUCCAUAUUUGGUUAAGAUGCACUACAUUCUAUAUCUUUCUACGCCAAGCAUAUUUCUCUUUUCUAUCUGUAGUUCCUCGCAUACAUAAGCAAAUGACAAUGCAUAUUAUGUUCCCUCUCCCUCUAUAUAUCUCCAAAUUCGUGGUAGCAAGAAUCACUACGUACUGACCACAUCGUCAAUAUGAAUUUAGACCUAUAUGAUGGAAUCAAUAAGACAACAUAGCUUUCAUUCUUAUAAAGGAGGUCAGUUCCAUUCAAACCAUUUAGCUAUGUGCAGUUAAAUUGUCAAUCAUCUAUUAGAUGCUUUUUACAUCAAAAGGGGUGAUUUCACCCAACUUUUUACAUGUGGUCACCGUCAUAGAUAAUAUAAAAUAUUUGCAGUUCAAACUGACGUCAAGAAUAUAGAUCCUUUGAAAGUUAAGCUUGGUUACCAUGCGUACAACUGGUGACUGAUCGUACAAGCAUUGCGGCCAUUGAUUCUUGCUUUCAUUUAGGUUAAUUAGCACUAGAAUCAUUAGUAUCGACACAAAUGCAAACAGAGUCAUUAGUAUCUUCUAACGGCUAGCAUUGACUUGAUUAAUUUGAUGUGUUGCCACCAUCACAGGCCAGCAGCCCGGGGCGCAAUGAUGUGCCUGUGAACUCGCCGCUGUCCGUGCAUAUCGGGCAUCCAAGCGUGCCCAGUAGUCACAUGGUCGCCCCGCAGAUGAAAAAAUCAGGUACUUUACAACCUCAACUUUUGCAACUUCGAUUAAUUUACAUCAACUUCUUCUCUGUUGGCUUUGGAUCUGAAACUUCGAUUAAUUUACAUCAACUUCUUCUUUGUUAACUACAUCACCAUCGUAAAAUUGGUUUCCUUUUAAUUCAGGUUUCACUUGUAAGAUGUAGGAAACAGUGUGACUCAACGACAUUUUGACUUUGUUAAUUUACAUCACCAUUCAAAAUUUAGGUUUCAAAAUCAUGUAUGUUCUACAAUCUGAUAGACAUUUUCCAGUUUUUGCAGAUAUUAUGAGGCCGAGUUGGGCGUUGAACCAGCAGUCCACGGUGGCGAGGAACCUGGUUACGAUAGGGUUGCGUAUCAUCGAGCCCGGCACUGAGCAUGUGCAUGGCCCAGCCUUCUGCUGACGGCAAUGCGGCUCCCUGUUUAUUAUUGACGUGAGAUUAUGUGGGAUGUAGGAUGUCCGCUUGUCCCAUCAAAAAUUAUGUGGACACAUAUGGGCCUCCCACUUAUAUUAUGCAGCAGAUGUAGUUGUGGAUGUGGAUUGGGGUUAGUUUGUUGAGUUACAGUUGUCUGAGCGAAAUAAUUUUCCUACUUUAGAAAAUAUGGCAAAUAGUGUUGCAUUAGAGAUGGCUUUGUAACAAAUUGCAUGAGUAGUUUAUAUUUUUUCCAUCAAGUCGUACAAUUUUUUGGUUAGGUUCGAAGGGUAAAUGCAUUGGUUGGUUGCUUCAAGACUUGAUAAUGGACAUGGUGGCAUAUUUGUGGCAUGCCCAAUAAUGGACAUCGUAUUUUUGUUUCACAGUAAUGCAUGAC
RNAcentral lists this long non-coding RNA (1769 nucleotides) under Triticum aestivum (bread wheat). RNAcentral describes it as "long non-coding RNA (TAES_LNC020706)". The record is from RNAcentral. Lineage: Eukaryota; Viridiplantae; Streptophyta; Magnoliopsida; Poales; Poaceae.